AAUCACUCAACCCCUGUGACAUACCUUAAUGUUGCCUCGGCGGAUCAGCCCGCGCCCCGUAAAACGGGACGGCCCGCCAGAGGACCCAAACUCUAAUGUUUCUUAUUGUAACUUCUGAGUAAAACAAACAAAUAAAUCAAAACUUUCAACAACGGAUCUCUUGGUUCUGGCAUCGAUGAAGAACGCAGCAAAAUGCGAUAAGUAAUGUGAAUUGCAGAAUUCAGUGAAUCAUCGAAUCUUUGAACGCACAUUGCGCCCGCUGGUAUUCCGGCGGGCAUGCCUGUUCGAGCGUCAUUUCAACCCUCAAGCCCCCGGGUUUGGUGUUGGGGAUCGGCUCUGCCCUUCUGGGCGGUGCCGCCCCCGAAAUACAUUGGCGGUCUCGCUGCAGCCUCCAUUGCGUAGUAGCUAACACCUCGCAACUGGAACGCGGCGCGGCCAUGCCGUAAAACCCCAACUUCUGAAUGUUGACCUCGGAUCAGGUAGGAAUACCCGCUGAACUUAAGCAUAUCAAUAAGCGGAGGAA
RNAcentral lists this ribosomal RNA (523 nucleotides) under fungal sp. XKGKDF4. RNAcentral describes it as "eukaryotic LSU rRNA". The stretch from base 141 to 294 matches the Rfam family "5.8S ribosomal RNA". The record is from RNAcentral. Lineage: Eukaryota; Fungi.